ACUUCGCAUCUUAGUGAAUUUGCCCCUAAGUGCUGUAGUUCCAUGAGAAUCCAGAACAGUAAAUAAGUAAUCACCUAAAGGACACAGUGCCAGUUCCAGCAGUUUAACACAUGUAUGAUUCCCAGCCGAGUGGGUGGCAAAAUGUUCAAAUGUGAUUUUUAAUAGACACAGUAAUGUUCUGAUUCACUAUUCAGCCCACCCAAGCCCCACACCCUUUUCGUUGUAUUGCCAACUUGUAAUUUUCAGUACUCUGAGAAAUGCCCCAGCAAGUCCCCUUCCCUCACCCUUUUCACUCACUGUGUGAAGCAGUGAAACAGACCUUUCUGCAGUCGUGCUGUUUGCCCUAAGCAUACCCCCCACCCUGAAAGUAUACCAAUCCUUAACUGCAACUGUCUUUUAUUAUCAGUACAGAAACUGUCCUUGUACUUCUAACUGAUCAAUCAUUGGCACUAGGAUUGGAUCAUCUAUUGUGGCCUGUGGAGAACCAUCGUAUUACAGACAGAACAAAUCAAUAGAAGAAUCGCCAGUUUAAUGUCAUUAAAUUAAAUGUGAAGCAGUGAAACAGACCUUUCUGCAGCCGUGCUGUCUCCUGUACUUCUCCUAAUAAUCAGCUCUCUGCUGGCAGGCUGCAAACAGCACACCGUUUCUAAUUGAUGCUCACUCUGCAAUCCACUGAUCAUGUCUGCUGUCUGCAGCCUGCAGACUUGCCAGCAGAGAGCGGAUUAUUAGGAGAAAUACAACAGGAGACAGCACGGCUGCAGAGAGAUCACUGCAGCCUACCUGCCAUUUAAGGGUCAUGGCUUUUGCGGCCCCAAAGCACAUGGAGGGCCCCAAAUUACAAACCAAAAUGAGUACAUGGACCCCAUUAAACCACCAGCUCAUGAAUGACAGAGUGAGGGCUGUCAUAUCGUUUCCCCUAGAUGGUAUAUUAGAUGGUAUAAUUUACUGAAUACAUUGAAAAAGAUUUUCAGCCGAAUAGCAUUUCUAUAAUGGGUCAGCGAGUCGGCUGCUUAUCGCUUUAUGUGCGGCGAAAUAAAGACACACAGAUAUUCUUGCUACAACAGAUGCCUAAGAUUCCUUAUUGCAUGGCUGCAGAAGGUGCAGGUUCCCAGGUGAUAAUAAGCCAAUAUGCCUGAAUUAAAAUAAAAAUACACUUUGCACUUUUUUUCUGUCAUUUUCUGAAACUUUCAUGGUGGCAAUGUG
This is a long non-coding RNA of Xenopus laevis (African clawed frog), 1203 nucleotides long. RefSeq lists it as uncharacterized. NCBI's taxonomy places the organism in Eukaryota, Metazoa, Chordata, Amphibia, Anura, Pipidae. The record is from RefSeq and is a predicted model, not a curated record. The transcript has 4 exons.